RNAcentral lists this ribosomal RNA (465 nucleotides) under uncultured bacterium. Its description in RNAcentral is "partial 16S ribosomal RNA". It matches the Rfam family "Bacterial small subunit ribosomal RNA", at positions 338 to 795 of the family's 1533-position model. The record is from RNAcentral.
CCUACGGGUGGCAGCAGUGGGGAAUAUUGCGCAAUGGGCGAAAGCCUGACGCAGCGACGCCGCGUGAGGGAUGAAGGUUCUCGGAUCGUAAACCUCUGUCAGAAGGGAAGAAAGUAUAUCAUGCUAAUCAGUGUUGUAUUGACGGUACCUUCAAAGAAAGCCCCGGCUAACUCCGUGCCAGCAGCCGCGGUAAUACGUAGGGUGCGAGCGUUAAUCGGAAUUACUGGGCGUAAAGCGCACGUAGGCUGUAUGACAAGUCAAGGGGGAAAUGCCACGGCUCAACCGUGGAACUGCCUGUGAAACUGUAAAACUAGAGUAUGUGAGAGGGAGGCGGAAGUCCUGGUGUAGGAGUGAAAUGCGUAGAUAUCAGGAGGAACACCAGUGGCGAAGGCGGCGGUCUGGCACAAAACUGACGCUGAGGCGCGAAAGCGUGGGUAGCAAACAGGAUUAGAUACCCUGGUAGUC